CCGUGAUGUGCGCGCGCGCGGUGUCGGGACCCUCGAGUUGUCCACACCAGCCGUCGCCGACAUCACACAAUGAUGUACAGAAGAAAGCCUGAGGAAUUGGGUUUCACAAGCCAAGUGUACAGCUGAGGACGAGAGCCAGAUGCUGCUGAUGGAGGGAAAAGACAAGGCCAGCAAUGGAUAUUUUAAAGGGAAAAGAGCAUUUUGAUCCAAAAUGCAACUGAAUCUUCCAAGAAUAAAUAACUGAUAAAAAACAAAUCUUCAGCAAAUUGUUCACAGCCACAAUUGCCGGCUCGGCCAAUGAAGUCGCCAUAAUCGGGGAGAUGUCGGUCUGAAGAGAAGAGAGUGAGCUGCACGUCAACCACAGCGAGCACCACACCACUAAGGUAGGACUGACUGACUCUCUGACGGGG
This is a long non-coding RNA of Amblyraja radiata (thorny skate), 410 nucleotides long. RefSeq lists it as uncharacterized. The transcript has 3 exons. Lineage: Eukaryota; Metazoa; Chordata; Chondrichthyes; Rajiformes; Rajidae. The record is from RefSeq and is a predicted model, not a curated record.